UAGAUUAACUAAGGGAAAGGGAAUGGGAAAAACAUGCAAGAAUUGCUGCUUGGCAGGUUAAUAUAAAGAGCAAUAUACUUCUUGUAGCGUGAUUGUGGCUGUUUUACUUAAAUUUACCUUAAAAUUAAAUUUUGAAUAUGCAAGAGUUGCAGUUUGGCAGGUUAAUAUAAAGAGCAAUAUACUUCUUGUAGCGUGAUUGUGGCUGUUUUACUUAAAUUUACCUUAAAAUUA
Molecule: unclassified non-coding RNA, 231 nt
Filed under: Hevea brasiliensis (rubber tree)
Lineage: Eukaryota; Viridiplantae; Streptophyta; Magnoliopsida; Malpighiales; Euphorbiaceae
Source: RNAcentral